Molecule: ribosomal RNA, 198 nt
Filed under: Triticum aestivum (bread wheat)
Lineage: Eukaryota; Viridiplantae; Streptophyta; Magnoliopsida; Poales; Poaceae
Description: partial small subunit ribosomal RNA
Source: RNAcentral
AUGGUUGUGAAGGGCAUCAAGGAGAUUGGGCAUAGUGAUGGAAAUGCAUUGCUCGAGCUACUUCUCACAUAUAAGGCACUUGAAGAUGAUGAUGAUCUUGAUUUUGAGAAUCCGGAUGGCGAUGACGAUGCUGGUGAUACAGAGACCGACUCUAAUGGUUCUAGUGAUGAGGUCGAUAAUUCCUUUUCUCUAUUUUAG